UGCCAGCAGCCGCGGUAAUACGAAGGGAGCUAGCGUUGUUCGGAAUUACUGGGCGUAAAGGGUGCGUAGGCGGCUUAGCAAGUCAGAUGUGAAAUCCCCGGGCUUAACUCGGGUGGGUCAUUUGAAACUGCUAGGCUUGGGUAAAGAAGAGGUAAGUGGAAUUCCUAGUGUAGCGGUGAAAUGCGUAGAUAUCGAGAGGAACACCAGUAGCGAAGGCGGCUCACUGGGCCGGUACCGACGCUGAGGAGCGAAAGCAUGGGGAGCAAACAGGAUUAGAUA
RNAcentral lists this ribosomal RNA (279 nucleotides) under uncultured bacterium. RNAcentral describes it as "partial 16S ribosomal RNA". It matches the Rfam family "Bacterial small subunit ribosomal RNA", at positions 506 to 784 of the family's 1533-position model. The record is from RNAcentral.